GAAAUAUCCCGUUAAAGCGUGUAGGUAUUGAUAGAGUAGGCAAAUCCGCUCUUGAACCGAACGUGAUAGUACUCAAGGUUUUCGAACUGAGAGAUAGUGUACCUAAUCAGACUUCCUAGAAAAACCUCUAAGCUUCAGGUAUAGCAACCCGUACCGUAAACCGACACAGGUAGACGAGGAGAGUAUCCUCAGGCGCUCGAGUGAGUCACGGCUAAGGAACUCGGCAAAAUGGACCCGUAACUUCGGGAGAAGGGUCGCCCCAGCAAUGGGGCCGCAGUGAAAAGUAUCAGGCGACUGUUUAACGAAAACACAGGGCUCUGCAAAAUCGAAAGAUGAAGUAUAGGGCCUGACACCUGCCCGGUGCUGGAAGGUUAAGGAAGGUUGUUAGCCGCAAGGCAAAGCUUCCGACUGAAGCCCCAGUAAACGGCGGCCGUAACUAUAACGGUCCUAAGGUAGCGAAAUUCCUUGUCGGGUAGGUUCCGACCUGCACGAAUGGUGUAACGAUCUGAUAACUGUCUCAGCCGUGAGCUCGGUGAAAUUAUAGUCCCGGUGAAGAUGCCGGGUACCCGUAACGGGACGGAAAGACCCCGUGAACCUUCACUACAACUUUGCAUUGACUUUGAGUAAACGAUGUGUAGCAUAGGUGGGAGACUUUGAAGCGGGCACGCUAGUGUUCGUGGAGUCAACGUUGAAAUACCACCCUUUGUUUACUUAGAGCCUAAUCCGCUAAGCGGAGAAAGUGCAUGGUGGGUAGUUUGACUGGGGUGGUCGCCUCCAAAAGAGUAACGGAGGCUUCCAAAGGUACCCUCAGCACGCUUGGUAACCGUGCGCAGAGUGUAUUAGCAUAAGGGUGCUUGACUGUGAGACCGACGGGUCGAGCAGGUACGAAAGUAGGGUAAAGUGAUCCGGUGGUUCUGCAUGGAAGGGCCAUCGCUCAAAGGAUAAAAGGUACUCCGGGGAUAACAGGCUGAUCUCCCCCAAGAGCUCAUAUCGACGGGGAGGUUUGGCACCUCGAUGUCGGCUCGUCACAUCCUGGGGCUGGAGAAGGUCCCAAGGGUUGAGCUGUUCGCUCAUUAAAGUGGCACGCGAGCUGGGUUCAGAACGUCGCAAGACAGUUCGGUCCCUAUCUGUUAUGGGCGUUUGAGAUUUGAGGAGAUCUGUUUCUAGUACGAGAGGACCGGAAUGGACUGACCUCUAGUGUACCGGUUAUGUCGCCAGAUGUACCGCCGGGUAGCUACGUUGGGAAUGGAUAAGCGCUGAAAGCAUCUAAGCACGAAACCAACUUCAAGAUGAGAUCUCAUAGGGUCGUCGAAGACUACGACGUUGAUAGGUCAUAGGUGUAAAGGUGGUAACAUCAAAGCCGAGUGAUACUAAUAACCCAUCAACUUUUUUG
Molecule: ribosomal RNA, 1393 nt
Filed under: metagenome
Description: bacterial LSU rRNA
Rfam family: Bacterial large subunit ribosomal RNA
Source: RNAcentral